This 623-nucleotide long non-coding RNA is filed under the name Rattus norvegicus (Norway rat). RNAcentral describes it as "long non-coding RNA NONRATT025111". Lineage: Eukaryota; Metazoa; Chordata; Mammalia; Rodentia; Muridae. The record is from RNAcentral.
ACAUUUUGCAGCUACAGCGCCAGGAGCUCAGCUGGUUAUUUCUAGCUUGCUGAAUGUCAAAAAUCCGGGCUGCUUCUCAUAGCAGCCUCCACUUGUCAGACCAAAUCAAGGCAUCAGCCUGUCAAGCAGCCAAAUCAGCUGCCCCAAGCACCAGCCUGGAGGCGCCGGUCCAGCCUCUUGCAGUGCACCUGACCCGGGCCCCCCCGCAGUGCACCUGACCCAAUGGAGCUCAGUGCUCAGCUUGCUGUGAGCCCUCUGCCCACGCUCCUGGGGCGCGGCUCUCACCUGCAGCCCGGAGCCUGGUGCUUGAGCACAGUCAGAAGUGAAGUCUUCACGGGCUUGUGCAGCUGUCUGGGUUUUCCCCGUGUUGGGGCCAGCUGGCAGACUGCCCCGAGAGAAUGUGACCAUGGGAGCUGGUCUCUGAUGCUGAGCUCUGACCCCAGUGAAGAGAUUAGUCUGGCUUUCCUCUGGUCUCUUUUGGAAUCGCUUGGAACCUUCCUUUGCUUUUGCCUUGUUUUCUUAGAAUAGCUCUCACCCCCCUAACUCAAGUUCUUCCCCAGAUCUAAAGUACCCAGAAGGUUUGUUUCUCUGUCCAAAUAAAAGCAACCCAAGAGACACUGAAA